Molecule: long non-coding RNA, 1032 nt
Organism: Cyprinus carpio (common carp)
Lineage: Eukaryota; Metazoa; Chordata; Actinopteri; Cypriniformes; Cyprinidae
Source: Ensembl
UAAAUCUACUUUUUUUCCCGUCCACUAUAUGAGGUAAAUAUUUGCUGAUAGGAGUAGGGGAAAAAAGACAUGCAAAGUACUCUCCCCAGAGUGCAGAGAUGAAAAGAAAAAAAAAAUCAUGAAAAACAAAUAAUGAGGAAAAAUAUGCAGCUUUAGCUAAUUAAUGUUGAACACCAGGAUUAUGACUUGUAUAAAUGCAUUAAGAGCCACAGCAUAAUUUUUGAUGAGAGUGAGUAUGCAGUGCAACUUUAGGACAUUCCAUGUGGGACACAGUUUUAAAUAAUUGAAAUUCAUGUUUGCAUAAAUUAUUGUUUUAAACAGGGGCCACGUCCAUUGCAAAUGAUGAUUAGCAUUAAAACACAAGCUGGUGGAACAGAAAGCGGUCAUUAGCAAGUUUUUCUCACAGCUGUCAGAAACCUUCUGUCACCCUGUGCCAAGACAGCGUUCCGCCCACUGCUAUUUCACGCCAGGGACAGAGAGAGACAGAGAGACAGAGAGAGAGAGAGUGAGAGAGAGAGGGAGAGAAGGAGAGCAUGCCGGGCGCCAGAAGCGGCAUCAACAAACAGUUAAUGCUUUACACUCCAGUCCAGUUGGUGGCAGUAAUACAUCAUAAGUUAGCUUGUCAACCACCAUUAAAUCGUACAAGAAGAAGAAGAAGAGUCUUCAGCGUAGCCAUUUUGAACAGGUGGUAAUCUCCAGUGAGGAGAGACGAAGGGUGACUUAGGAGGAGGACACAAGGAGUGGAGAAGGGAUGGUGACAGAGGAUGGCAAAGGGCUGACAGGAAGGCAGGCAUACCAGACAGGUGGAGGCUCUGGUGGAGGAUGGACUCCCGGAAGGACUAACACGCCACUGUGGAGAUGAGGAAGAUAGGAGCCACUGAGGAGCCGCUGUGUCCAAGGGCCAAAGCGGAGUCAAGGACUCAGAGGCUGGAGGUGGAGACAAGGGAUCCUCCAGCCACGAUGCCGAUGGAGACUGGCAGACCCGCGGCGAUCCCACCGCACAGAUGGUGGGCUCAGGGUGAAGCAGGCUGA